Molecule: ribosomal RNA, 497 nt
Filed under: uncultured bacterium
Lineage: Bacteria
Description: partial 16S ribosomal RNA
Rfam family: Bacterial small subunit ribosomal RNA
Source: RNAcentral
GAUGAACGCUGGCGGCGUGCCUAAUACAUGCAAGUCGAGCGAACGGACGAGAAGCUUGCUUCUCUGAUGUUAGCGGCGGACGGGUGAGUAACACGUGGAUAACCUACCUAUAAGACUGGGAUAACUUCGGGAAACCGUAGCUAAUACCGGAUAAUAUUUUGAACCGCAUGGUUCAAAAGUGAAAGACGGUCUUGCUGUCACUUAUAGAUGGAUCCGCGCUGCAUUAGCUAGUUGGUAAGGUAACGGCUUACCAAGGCAACGAUGCAUAGCCGACCUGAGAGGGUGAGCGGCCAAACUGGAAAUGAGACAAGGGCCAGAAUCCUACGGGAGGCAGCAGUAGGGAAUCUUCCGAAAUGGGCGAAAGCCUGACGGAGCAACGACGCGUGAGGGAUGAAGGGCUUCGGAUCGGAAAACUCUGUUAUUAGGGAAGAACAUAUGUGUAAGUAACUGUGCACAGCUUGACGGUACCUAAUCAGAAAGCCACGGCUAACUACGUG